AAUAAAGUGCCUGAAUCAAAAGGAUUAUUUUGAUAGAAUAAAUUAUGUGAUAUUUCACCUUUAUUA
This 66-nucleotide transfer RNA is filed under the name Dinothenarus chrysocomus. Its description in RNAcentral is "tRNA-Ile". Lineage: Eukaryota; Metazoa; Arthropoda; Insecta; Coleoptera; Staphylinidae. The record is from RNAcentral.